GCCCCCGUAGCUCAGCUGGAUAGAGCGUCGGUUUCCUAAACCGAGCGUCGCAGGUUCAAGUCCUGCCGGGGGUGCCA
This 77-nucleotide transfer RNA is filed under the name Pedosphaera sp. RNAcentral describes it as "tRNA-Arg". It matches the Rfam family "tRNA". From Rfam's summary of the family: Transfer RNA (tRNA) molecules are approximately 80 nucleotides in length. RNAcentral also lists the same sequence under 1 other name. Lineage: Bacteria; Pseudomonadati; Verrucomicrobiota; Pedosphaerae; Pedosphaerales; Pedosphaeraceae. The record is from RNAcentral.